AUGAAGAAGAAGAAUGGGACUGGUGGUGGCAGUAGGAUUCUUGCAUUGUGGGAAAAAGCUUCAAAAGCAAAGAAGAUUGAUGAAACGUCUACACCAAAUCAGAGUGCAGCUGCAUCGGGUACUUGUACCUCUCAUGUUCAGCUUGAGAGCAAUUUGCAAUUGGAGUUAGUGCAAGCACCGGAUGCGGAAUGUGAACCGGAGAGCAGAGAAGCAACCCCAACCCCAAUUGAUAAAGAUGCUGAAACAAGUGAUGCAGAUGAUGAACCAAUGGAAGCAGAUUUGGAGGCACUCGAACCUGAUCCUGGGAAGCGGAUUCCCAUCUCAAUGUAUGCUGUCAAUGACCAAGAUAGAGUAAGAAGAAGAUAUAUUGAGAUGAAGCCAUGUCAACCAAAGAAUCAUAACUUUGAGUAUACAAAUAAAAGUGGAGUUGACCGUCGCUUUUGUCGUGCUUGGUUUAAAGAAUUUCCAUGGAUUGAGUAUAGUGUGACAAAAGAUAGUGCUUUCUGCUUUGUUUGCUAUCUGUUCAAGGAUAAGACAAAAUAUCCCGGUGGAGAUGCAUUUGUGAAGAAUGGAUUUAGGAACUGGAGCAUGAAAUCGAGAUUGAAGAAACAUGAAGGUGAGGUUAGUAGUGCUCAUGCUGAAGCUCAAGAGAAGUAUGAUAUGUUCACUACACCACAAACAUCAAUUAGGGAGUUUUUUGCUUCAAACACCUCACAAUAUAAGGCUUUGUAUAAGCAGCGUUUGACAUGGACACUCAAAUGUUUGAGAUUUCUAUUGCACCAAGGCUUGGCAUUUAGAGGACAUGAUGAAAGUGAAAACUCACUAAAUAAAGGAAAUUUUCUUGAGCUUUUAAAUUGGCUAGCUGGAAAUUUUGAAGAGGUUGAUAGGGUUGUUCUCAAAAAUGCUCCACAGAACUGCAAGAUGACUCACCAUGAUAUACAACAUGAGUUAAUAAAAUGUUGUGCACAGGAGACUACAAAAUUAGUCAUUGAAGAACUUGAUGGUGGCCACUUUGCAAUACUUGCAGAUGAGUCUAGUGAUGUGUAUCAAAAUGAACAGUUGGAAAUUUGCUUGCGUUAUGUUGAUAAGAAAGGAAGGGCUGUUGUAAGAUUUCUUGGUCUUGCUCAUGUUCAAGAUACUACCUCUUUGAUGCAUUGGAAUUGGAAGAAGUAG
RNAcentral lists this ribosomal RNA (1173 nucleotides) under Triticum aestivum (bread wheat). Its description in RNAcentral is "partial small subunit ribosomal RNA". Lineage: Eukaryota; Viridiplantae; Streptophyta; Magnoliopsida; Poales; Poaceae. The record is from RNAcentral.